AACGAACGCUGGCGGCAUGCCUAACACAUGCAAGUCGAACGAGACCUUCGGGUCUAGUGGCGCACGGGUGCGUAACGCGUGGGAACCUGCCCUUAGGUUCGGAAUAACUCCCCGAAAGGGGUGCUAAUACCGGAUAAUGUCUUCGGACCAAAGAUUUAUCGCCUUUGGAUGGGCCCGCGUUGGAUUAGCUAGUUGGUAGGGUAAAAGCCUACCAAGGCGACGAUCCAUAGCUGGUCUGAGAGGAUGAUCAGCCACACUGGGACUGAGACACGGUCCAGACUCCUACGGGAGGCAGCAGUGGGGAAUAUUGGACAAUGGGCGAAAGCCUGAUCCAGCAAUGCCGCGUGAGUGAUGAAGGCCUUAGGGUUGUAAAGCUCUUUUACCCGGGAUGAUAAUGACAGUACCGGGAGAAUAAGCUCCGGCCAACUCCGUG
RNAcentral lists this ribosomal RNA (433 nucleotides) under uncultured bacterium. Its description in RNAcentral is "partial 16S ribosomal RNA". It matches the Rfam family "Bacterial small subunit ribosomal RNA", at positions 29 to 507 of the family's 1533-position model. The record is from RNAcentral.